CUCAUUUUUCUCUUGCCGCCACCACGAAAGAAGUGCCUUUUGCCUCCCGUCAUGAUUCUGAGGCCUCCCCAGCCAUGUGGAACUGUUUGAGGCACAGAGCUGUAUAUACAAUAACAGUGAAAUUGAUCCCACUACUAAUUAUGACAAAAAUGAUCUUCCACGUAAACAGGUGGUGAAGCUCCUUAUGGUCCUGACCCUACAGUUCCUGUCCCAUGACCAGGGCCAGAUCACCAAGGAGCUGCAGCAGUUCGUCGUCAGUGGCAGCCCCAUGCGAGCACCCGAGGAAGUCACAGGUGCCCAGGCCGGAGUGCAGUGGCGUGAUCUCGGCUCGCUACAACCACCACCUCCUAGCAGCCUGCCUUGGCCUUCCAAAGUGCUGAGAUUGCAGCCUCUGCCCAGCCGCCACCCCGUCUGGGAAGUGAGGAGCGUCUCUGCCUGGCCGCCCAUCGUCUGGGAUGUGAGGAGCCCCUCCGCCCAGCAGCCGCCCCGUCUGAGAAGUGAGGAGCCCCUCAGCCCGGCAGCCACCCCAUCUGAGAAGUGAGGAGCCCCUCCACCUGGCAGCCACCCCGUCUGGGAGGGCUGUGACCGUCUAUGACAAGCCAGCAUCUUUCUUUCAAGAGACCUCUGGACCUGCAGCACCAACUCUUCAUGAAGCUGGGCGGCACGCACUCUCCGUUCAGGGCCUGAACCUGAGGACCCAGACACGGAGCGGUCGGCCUUCAUGGAGCGGGAUGCUGGGAGCGGGCUGGUGAUGCGCCUCCGCGAGCGGCCAGCCCUGCUGGUCAGCAGCACAGGCUGGACAGAGGACGAAGACUUCUCCAUCUGCUGGCAGCUUUAGAAAGUAGGGUCGGUGGAUCUGGGUGUCUGUCUGCACACGUCCUGCAGUGGCCUGGACCUGCCCAUGAAGGUGGUGGACAUGUUCGGGUGCUGUUUGCCUGUGUGUGCCGUGAACUUCAAGUGGCAGGAGCAGAACCCGAAUCUUUCUGGGGAUAGCUUCACAGAUCCACCGCUGAGGAGGAAACAGUGCAGAGCGAGCUGCCCACAGUGAGGCCCUGCUCCUGGGUCAGUCCAGCACACACUGGAGGCCACGAGGAGGAGCCCUGCGGUUACUGUGUCUGGGCUGAGCCUCACUGAAGUAGUUGCUUCCAUUUAGAGCUCAUGUUAUAUUUAGGUUGAUACAAAAGUAAUCACGGUUUUUGCCAUUAAAGAUGGCAAUUACUUUUGCACCAACCUAAUAUGAAAAAAAAGCAUCUUAAAUACUGGAACUCCACUCGGGGCUUUUGCUCCUAGAGUAGAAUUGGCGGGAAUUGCCUGCAGGCUUACAUGGUUUUCUUUGUUUCUUUCUCUCCCACCAUGUCCUGUUUGGCCAAGCUCACGUGCUGGGUUUGAAUGAGUUAAAUGAGUGUCGUGCUGUGGCCUCACUGCACCCAGCGUAGACGGGCAUUUGGAAGGGCGGUGUUAGAGGAGAUUCUAGAAGCAGUAGCCCCAGCACAAGCUGAGCCCUUGGCCCCUGCUCAGGAGCCGGCUCCUGGAUGGGAGUCAGGGAUGUGAGCCCCUCGUGUGAGCUGAGCUCAGGGAAUGUCGGGAUCAAACCUGGUGCCCUAGAAAAGUCAUCUUUUAUGUGCUGAGCCAGUCCCCAGGGUGUUGCCUUUACUUGUUCCAUGGCCAUGGAAUUAAGCAAAACAUGCAAAAAUAAUUCUUCAGUCCUUGAAGAGCAUCCAGCACAGAAGGUAGAAACCCUCCUUAAGGCUCCCUCCUCAAAUCGGUUUGGCCAUUUCGAUGUGCACCCCCCCAGGCCUUUAUACCCUUCAGAUGCCAAAUCUAAGAACCAGCUCCCAGAAACCACACCCCCUGUUCCAACCCCCAGCCUGGCUUGAGCAUGGGUUGUUGGGGGGAGCCCAGGUGGGCACCCCAGGGGUCUGGUGUCUUCUCCAGGCAGCUCUCAGGCUCCCUUGGUUCUCUCUGCAGUUUACAUGAGCUGGUGAAACAUGAAGAAAAUGGCCUGGUCUUUGAGGACUCAGAGGAACUGGCAGCUCAGCUGCAGGUGCUUUUCUCAAACUUUCCUGAUCCUGCGGGCAAGCUAAACCAGUUCCGGAAGAACCUGCGGGAGUCGCAGCAGCUCCGAUGGGAUUAGAGCUGGGUGCAGACUGUGCUCCCUUUGGUUAUGGACACAUAACUCCUGGGCCAGAGGCUAAAACCCCGGGACCCCUGCUGUCCUUCCCACAGCUUCUUCUCAGAGUCUCAGGGCAAAUCCUUUCGAGCAGCGCCUCCCAGUGGCCAGAAGCUGAAAUGAUGGCAGUAGUGCCACCUGGUGAAUGAAUUGGUUCUGUGACCCGGGAAGCUGUGCUUGGCUCUGAUUUCUUUUCUGGAGGCUCGGAAACACUUCCUCUCUUCUUCUGUUCUUCACGCCCCAUGCCCCUGCUAGCGUAUUACUGUUCUGUGACUUCCCUGUGACCUCUGCAGUACUCCUCAUCCUGCGUUUGGUCUCCAGGUGUCACCUUUCUGCC
This 2507-nucleotide long non-coding RNA is filed under the name Homo sapiens (human). RNAcentral's name for it is "non-protein coding lnc-ART1-6:3". Lineage: Eukaryota; Metazoa; Chordata; Mammalia; Primates; Hominidae. The record is from RNAcentral.